UGGGGAAUUUUGGACAAUGGGGGAAACCCUGAUCCAGCCAUCCCGCGUGUGCGAUGAAGGCCUUCGGGUUGUAAAGCACUUUUGGCAGGAAAGAAACGUCAUGGGUUAAUACCCCGUGAAACUGACGGUACCUGCAGAAUAAGCACCGGCUAACUACGUGCCAGCAGCCGCGGUAAUACGUAGGGUGCAAGCGUUAAUCGGAAUUACUGGGCGUAAAGCGUGCGCAGGCGGUUCGGAAAGAAAGAUGUGAAAUCCCAGAGCUCAACUUUGGAAAUGCAUUUUUAACUGCCGGGCUAGAGUGUGUCAGAGGGAGGUGGAAUUCCGCGUGUAGCAGUGAAAUGCGUAGAUAUGCGGAGGAACACCGAUGGCGAAGGCAGCCUCCUGGGAUAACACGGACGCUCAUGCACGAAAGCGUGGGGAGCAAACAGG
RNAcentral lists this ribosomal RNA (429 nucleotides) under Acidobacteriota bacterium. Its description in RNAcentral is "Acidobacteria bacterium partial 16S ribosomal RNA". It matches the Rfam family "Bacterial small subunit ribosomal RNA", at positions 355 to 776 of the family's 1533-position model. The record is from RNAcentral. Lineage: Bacteria; Pseudomonadati; Acidobacteriota.